Molecule: ribosomal RNA, 3012 nt
Filed under: Triticum aestivum (bread wheat)
Lineage: Eukaryota; Viridiplantae; Streptophyta; Magnoliopsida; Poales; Poaceae
Description: eukaryotic LSU rRNA
Rfam family: Eukaryotic large subunit ribosomal RNA
Source: RNAcentral
CAAAAUGUCACGGAUGUGUCUUUUUUUUGUAGUGUAGCGAACAAGUACCGUGAGGGAAAGAUGAAAAGGACUUUGAAAAGAGAGUCAAAGAGUGCUUGAAAUUUCCGGGAGGGAAGCGGAUGGGGGCCGGCGAUGCGCCCCGGCCGUAUGCGCGCGGAACGGCUCUUGCUGGUCCGCCGCUCGACUCGGGGUGUGGACUGUUGUCGGCCGCGCCGACGGCCAAAGCCCGGGGGCCCUAGGUGCCCCCGAUGGCCGUCGUCGGCACGGCCGGUACCCGCGCGCCGAAAGGCGUGUCCCUCGGGGCACUGCGCUGCAAUGGCCUGCGGGCUCCCCAUCCGACCCGUCUUGAAACACGGACCAAGGAGUCUGACAUGCGUGCGAGUCGAUGGGUUCUAGAACCUGGGAUGCGCAAGGAAGCUGACGAGCGGGAGGCCCUCACGAGCCACACCGCUGGCCGACCCUGAUCUUUCGUGAAGGGUUUGAGUUGGAGCACGCCUGUCGGGACCCGAAAGAUGGUGAACUAUGCCUCAGCGGGGCGAAGCCAGAGGAAAAUCUGGUGGAGGCUCGAAGCGAUACUCACGUGCAAAUCGUUCGUUACUUGGGUAUAGGGGCGAAAGACUAAUCGAACCAUCUAGUAGCUGGUUCCCUCCGAAGUUUCCCUCAGGAUAGCUGGAGCCCAUUAUGAGUUCGAUCAGGUAAAUCCAAUGAUUAGAGGCAUUGGGGACGCAACGUCCUCGACCUAUUCUCAAACUUUAAAUAGAUAGGAUGGCGCGGCUGCUUCGGUGAGCCGUGCCAUGGAAUCGGGUGCUCCAAGUGGGCCAUUUUUGGUAAGCGGAACUGGCGAUGCGGGAUGAACCGGAAGCCGGGAUACGGUGCCCAACUGCGCGCUAACCUAGAACCCACAAAGGGUGUUGGUCGAUUAAGACAGCAGGACGGUGGUCAUGGAAGUCGAAAUCCGCUAAGGAGUGUGUAACAACUCACCUGCUGAAUCAACUAGCGCAAAAAAUGGAUGGCGCUGAAGAGCGCGACCCACACCCGGCCAUCUGGGCGAGCGCCAUGCCCCGAUGAGUAGGAGGGCGCGGCGGCCGCUGCAAAACCCGGGGCGUGAGCCCGGGCGGAGCGGCCAUCGGUGAAGAUCUUGGUAGUAGUAGAAAAUAUUCAAAUGAGAACUUUGAAGGCCGAAGAGGAGAAAGGUUCCAUGUGAACGGCACUUGCACAUGGGUAAGCCGAUCCUAAUGGACGGGGUAACCCUGGCAGAUAGCGCGAUCACGCGCAUCCCCUGAAAGGGAAUCGGGUUAAGACUUCCCGAGCCGGGAUGUGGUGGUUGACGGCGACGUUAGGAAGUCCGGAGAUGCCGGCGGGGGCCUUGGGAAGAGUUAUCUUUUCUGCUUAACGCCCUGCCAACCCUGGAAACGGUUCAGCCGAAGGUAGGGUCCCAUGGCCGGAAGAGCACCGCACAUCGCGCGGUGUCCGGGGCACCCCCGGCGGCCCAUGAAAAUCCGGAGGACCGAGUACCGUUCACGCCUGGUCGUACUCAUAACCGCAUCAGGUCUCCAAGGUGAAUAGCCUCUGGCUAAUGGAACAAUAUUGUAGGCAAGGGAAUUCGGCAAAACGGAUCCGUAACUUAGGGAAAAGGAUUUGCUCUGAGGACUGGGCUCGGGGGUCCCGGCCCCGAACCCGUCGGCUGUCGGCGGAUUGCUUGAGCUGCUCACGUGGCAAGAGCGGGUCGCCGCAUGCCGGCCGGGGUCGGACCGGGAAUCGCCCCUUCGGGGGCUUUCCCCGAGCAUGAAACAGUCGACUCAGAACUGGUAUGGAGAAGGGGAAUCCGACUGUUUAAUUAAAACAAAGCAUUGCGAUGGUCCUCGCGGAUGCUGACGCAAUGUAACUUCUUCCCAGUGCUCUGAAUGUCAAAGUGAAGAAAUUCAACCAAGCGCGGGUAAACGGUGGGAGUAACUAUGACUAUCUUAAGGUAGCCAAAUGCCUCGUCAUCUAAUUAGUGACGCGCAUGAAUAGAUUAACGAGAUUCCCACUGUCCCUAGCUACUAUACAGUGAAACCACGGCCAAGGGAACGGGCUUGGCGGAAUCAGCGGGGAAAGAAGACCUUGUUGAGCUUGACUCUAGUCCGACUUUGUGAAAUGACUUGGUGGUGUAGGAUAAGUGGGAGCCCUCACGGGCGCAAGUGCAAUACCACUACUUUUAACGUUAUUUUACUUAUUCCGUGGGUCGGAAGCGGGGCAUGUCCCCUCCUUUUGGCUCCAAGGCCCGGUCUUACCCGGCCGAUCCGGGCGGAAGACAUUGUCAUGUGGGGAUUUUGGCUGGGGCGGCACAUCUGUUAAAAGAUAACGCAGGUGUCCUAAGAUGAGCUCGACGAGAACAGAAAUCUCGUGUGGAACAAAAGGGUAAAAGCGUGGCCUAUCGAUCCUUUAGAUCUUCGGAGUUUGAAGCUAGAGGUGUCAGGAAAGUUACCAUAGGGAUAACUGGCUUGUGGCAGCCAAGCAUUCAUAGCGACGUUACUUUUUGAUCCUUCGAUGUCGGCUCUUCCUAUCAUUGCGAAGCAGAAUUCACCAUGUGUUGGAUUGUUCACCCACCAAUAAGGAACGUGAGCUGGGUUUGGACCGUCGUGAGACAGGUUAGCUUUACCCUACUGAUGACAGUGUCGCGAUAGUAAUUCAACCUAGUACAAGUGGAACCGUUGAUUCACACAAUUGGUCAUCGCGCUUGGUUAAAAAGCCAGUGGCGCGAAGCUACCAUGUGCCGGAUUAUGACUGAACGCCACUAAGUCAGAAUCCAAGCUAGCAUGCGACGCCUGCGCCCGCCGCCCGCCCCGACCCACGUUAGGGGCACUUGCGCCCCCAAGGACCCAUGCCAUUGGCUAAGCCGGUCCGGCCGACGUGCCGCGGCCGGCCGCCUCGAAGCUCCCUUCCCAAAGGGCGGUGGGAUGAAUCCUUUGCAGACGACUUAAAUAUGCGAAGGGGCAUUGUAAGUGGCAGAGUGGCCUUGCUGCCACGAUC